RNAcentral lists this ribosomal RNA (485 nucleotides) under Solenaia sp. AVK-2017. RNAcentral describes it as "partial 16S ribosomal RNA". It matches the Rfam family "Bacterial large subunit ribosomal RNA", at positions 1816 to 2598 of the family's 2925-position model. The record is from RNAcentral. Lineage: Eukaryota; Metazoa; Mollusca; Bivalvia; Unionida; Unionidae.
UCGUCUCUUGAACCCAAUCAUAGGAGAUAAUGCCUGCCCAGUGAAUAGUUUAAACGGCCGCGUUAGCGUGAGCGUGCUAAGGUAGCGUAAUAAAUAGCCUCUCAAUUGGAGGCCAGUGAAUGGCAAGACUAGGAACACCUAUACCCUUUAUACCAGAAAAACUUUUCAUCUAAGUGAAAAGACUUAGAUAAUUAAGGAAGACGAAAAGACCCCGCGGAACUUUACUUUUUCUUACACUUCUGCCCAGAGCAAGAAAAAUAAAAAGUUUGAUUGGGGCAAUCUCGGAACCAUCAAGCUUCCGAUUCUCAUAAUAAAAGAUCUAAAACUAGAUAAGGACAGAAAAGAAGUUACCCCGGGGAUAACAGCGUUAUCCAACUUAAGAGUACACAUCGAAAGUUGGGUUUGCGACCUCGAUGUUGGCUUAAGGAUAUCCACAUUAGUGCAACCGCUAUGAAAGGAUAGUCUGUUCGACUAUUACACCCUUA